RNAcentral lists this transfer RNA (74 nucleotides) under Enterococcus faecium. Its description in RNAcentral is "tRNA-Arg". It matches the Rfam family "tRNA". From Rfam's summary of the family: Transfer RNA (tRNA) molecules are approximately 80 nucleotides in length. Their secondary structure includes four short double-helical elements and three loops (D, anti-codon, and T loops). Further hydrogen bonds mediate the characteristic L-shaped molecular structure. tRNAs have two regions of fundamental functional importance: the anti-codon, which is responsible for specific mRNA codon recognition, and the 3' end, to which the tRNAs corresponding amino acid is attached (by aminoacyl-tRNA synthetases). tRNAs cope with the degeneracy of the genetic code in two manners: having more than one tRNA (with a specific anti-codon) for a particular amino acid; and 'wobble' base-pairing, i.e. permitting non-standard base-pairing at the 3rd anti-codon position. The record is from RNAcentral. Lineage: Bacteria; Bacillati; Bacillota; Bacilli; Lactobacillales; Enterococcaceae.
GCGCCCAUCGCUCAACUGGAUAGAGUGUUUGACUACGGAUCAAAAGGUUAGGGGUUCGACUCCUCUGUGGCGCG